This 253-nucleotide ribosomal RNA is filed under the name uncultured bacterium. RNAcentral's name for it is "partial 16S ribosomal RNA". It matches the Rfam family "Bacterial small subunit ribosomal RNA", at positions 524 to 776 of the family's 1533-position model. The record is from RNAcentral.
UACGGAGGGGGCGAGCGUUAUUCGGAUUUACUGGGCGUAAAGGGAUCGUAGGCGGAUGUAUAAGUUAGAUGUGAAAGCCCUGGGCUCAACCUAGGAAUUGCAUUUAAAACUGUAUGUCUAGAGUGUUGGAGAGGAUGACGGAAUUCCAAGUGUAGAGGUGAAAUUCGUAGAUAUUUGGGGGAACAUCAGUGGCGAAGGCGGCCACCUGGACUGAUACUGACACUGAGGUGCGAAAGCGUGGGGAGCAAACAGG